UGGUCUGCAACCCGACCACACGAAGCUGGAAUCGCUAGUAAUCGUGAAUCAGAAUGUCACGGUGAAUACGUUCCCGGGUCUUGUACACACCGCCCGUCACACCAUGGGAGUCAGCAACGCCCGAAGUCAGUGACCUAACCGAGAGGGAGGAGCUGCCGAAGGCGGGGCCGGUAACUGGGGUGAAGUCGUAACAAGGUAAC
This 200-nucleotide ribosomal RNA is filed under the name uncultured bacterium. RNAcentral describes it as "partial 16S ribosomal RNA". It matches the Rfam family "Bacterial small subunit ribosomal RNA", at positions 1301 to 1500 of the family's 1533-position model. The record is from RNAcentral.